Long non-coding RNA from Raphanus sativus (radish), 1086 nucleotides. RefSeq lists it as uncharacterized. The record is from RefSeq and is a predicted model, not a curated record. The transcript is spliced from 2 exons. Lineage: Eukaryota; Viridiplantae; Streptophyta; Magnoliopsida; Brassicales; Brassicaceae.
CUUCGUCUUAUCAGUUUGUGUCGAUGCACUUAAUCUUAACAAGUAGGUUGGCAAAAGCAAAACUCGUAAUACGUAAUGCUGAACGGCAACUACUCUUAUAAUUUCACACUUUGUCUUACAUUUUUUUUUUGGUUUAUUUUUUGUCAACAAUUUGUUUAUAGAGAAAAUUGGCCUCUAUAUCCAUAUAAAGAGACCAAAUUCAAUACUUACCACAUCUCAUAAACUAGAUUUUUUCGUUCCGUAAUUGCCCCUACUCCUCUAUGCGCAGAACUACAUGAAGAUGUGUCAGAACUCACUGCCACAUGCUGAAAGAACUCUCUCCAGACAAAAACAAUACGAUUACCAAAAGAUAUCUUUUGAUUUUUAAUUAUUUUUCAAUCUUCUACCUCUCUCCUCUCUUCUCCUUUACCCCAGCGCUUUGUUUCCUCUGGUGACACGUGGUUUGAUAUCGAUGAAUGAGAGAAGGAAAGGUGAUUCAGUUAAAAGCUUACAUCAGCUGUGAUUUUCUAUCGACCAUUUUCUUCGGUUGGGUUGUUUGUUUUGUGCUUCUGUUGUCGGAUCUGUUCUUUCGAUUAUUGAUAUAUGUUGUUUUAUACAUCAUUGUAUAUAUGUUUUCUAAUUGGUUUUUAAGUCUUUAUCGAGUAUUUCUAGUCAUUUUCGAGUCAUUACAGGUCUGGAGUUGCACUGGAUGGAAGAUGGACCUGUUGGAACAAAAGAGGUAGAAAUCAGUGCAGUUUGGUGAUUUUCACGUAGAACAGUCUGAUGACUGUUCCCGAUCAAGUGGAACAAGCAGACGGAGUGAUCCCGAGGUUAUUCCCGACGAAUAAAGAAAAUAGAACAUCUCGGGAUUUGCCCUAAUUACCUUGUUUUUCUCUCUGGCCGCCUGUGGCUUUGAUAUAACUUCUUUUUCUAUUUUUUCUACAUCAUUCUAUGUUACUUUUCAUAGAGAAACAGACUCUAGAGCUUUUUACUUUGGGAUUUGCUACUUUGUAAAGGGAGAAGGCUAUCUCUCUCCAUAGAGAAGAAUCCCUGAACCCUAUCUCUUGUUUCUGUUAUUUUUAUGCAGUAUUAUUCAGUAUUGAUGCU